AGAACGAACGCUGGCGGCAUGCCUAAUACAUGCAAGUCGAACGAACUCUUCGGAGUUAGUGGCGCACGGGUGCGUAACGCGUGGGAAUCUGCCCCUUGGUUCGGAAUAACAGUUGGAAACGACUGCUAAUACCGGAUGAUGACGAAAGUCCAAAGAUUUAUCGCCAAGGGAUGAGCCCGCGUAGGAUUAGCUAGUUGGUGAGGUAAAGGCUCACCAAGGCAACGAUCCUUAGCUGGUCUGAGAGGAUGAUCAGCCACACUGGGACUGAGACACGGCCCAGACUCCGUACGGGAGCAGCAGUAGGGAAUA
This 309-nucleotide ribosomal RNA is filed under the name uncultured soil bacterium. RNAcentral's name for it is "bacterial SSU rRNA". It matches the Rfam family "Bacterial small subunit ribosomal RNA", at positions 26 to 363 of the family's 1533-position model. The record is from RNAcentral.